AGCACUUUAAAACUUCAAAGAGAGAAAAAGUUUCCAGUUCCAGGUCUGGACUUCUGACCGGGGUCUCUGAAGCCAUGGCAGCCCAUGUGGAUAGUGAACAUGACGUGGUCCAGGAAGAGGAUGCGGCAAUGCUCACACUUGAAGGCCUUCACGGGCUCGCCACUCUCACCCACCACCCGAAGCACUUCCUUGGAGGGACCUGGGGUGCCCCGUGCUUUCCACACUGAGAUACCAAGAGAUCUCCAGAGAAACCAUCACUGAUAGAGAAAUUCUGAGAAAAGGAAUAAAAGAACAGAG
This is a long non-coding RNA of Choloepus didactylus (southern two-toed sloth), 297 nucleotides long. RefSeq lists it as uncharacterized. NCBI's taxonomy places the organism in Eukaryota, Metazoa, Chordata, Mammalia, Pilosa, Megalonychidae. The record is from RefSeq and is a predicted model, not a curated record. The transcript is spliced from 3 exons.